UGUGUGUGUGUGUGUGCGAGUGUGUGCUUGAGUUUGUGCGAGCGCGCGCGUGUAGACGAAGGAGGAUAAGGAUGUGAAGAUGCUGUUGGUGUUAGCGGUGGUGGUGGUGGUGACGGCGGCGCUCUGGGAGGCUGGGUCGAGGUCCGGUCCUUCUUCCACCCUCAGUUCCCGCCUGUGGGUCGUCACUGGGUAGACGUGUGUGGCUGUGCUCGUGCAAUCGUCUUCCACGCCUGCCCGUGGACUCCAGUCAGUCACUCUCUUGACUGAAACAGUUUAUGACACACCCGUGAGUGCUUCCCCGUGACUGGAAAUUUGAAGGCGUUUUGCGACUGAGGCUGGAGUUUUGAACUUUUGAAAACUGCGCGCAUGACGGAAAUUGAAGUGCAUUUGGUGAUUGUCUGGAAAUAUGAAAAUAAGAUUUUUUCCCAGUCUGAAAAUAUGAAGUGCAUGGAAUAUUGAGACAAAAGGAACCGAGAGCUGUGUAGUGAUGGCUAAGUAAUGAACAAUGCCGGAGGGAGCGGACGGGGGAUUUGCGUCUCCUCCAAGGGUCCCUCUCUUUCGCCCUCCUAUGGAUCUAACAAGGAGAAAGGGGUGGCUAACACCUCCUCUUCCGAAUGCAGGCCGACGCGAGGCCUCCUUCAGGAUCCUACUCUCGCCAAAAGACCUUUGACUCCGUGUUGAUGAGGGAGAGCAGACCAGCGCCCGCCGCCAGGGUGGGCCGCGCCGCCGCCGACAUGGGAACCGCCAGAGACGAGGCGGCCAUGAAGAGAUCACGCCAGCACAACAUGCGGGCCUUCAUCAGGGACCACCGCGCCAUGGUGAGUAGUAAGACCUGCCUUCCCCCUGCCCUCCUUCUCCUUCUCCCUCUCCCUCCCUCUCUCUCUCUGGCCCAUAUUCAGAAACGCUUUUGCUCUCUCACCACUGCGACUACUUUCCAAGGCUACAGAGAUGAUUUACCUGG
Scylla paramamosain (green mud crab) is the source of this 961-nucleotide long non-coding RNA. RefSeq lists it as uncharacterized. NCBI's taxonomy places the organism in Eukaryota, Metazoa, Arthropoda, Malacostraca, Decapoda, Portunidae. The record is from RefSeq and is a predicted model, not a curated record. The transcript has 4 exons.